GUAUAAAGUGGCGAACGGCUGAGUAACACGUGGGCAACCUGCCCUUUGCACUGGGAUAGCCUCGGGAAACCGAGGUUAAUACCGGAUACUCCAUAUUUGUCGCAUGGCGAAUAUGGGAAAGCUCCGGCGGCAAAGGAUGGGCCCGCGGCCUGUUAGCUAGUUGGUGGGGUAGUGGCCUACCAAGGCAAUGAUGGGUAGCCGGGUUGAGAGACCGACCGGCCAGAUUGGGACUGAGACACGGCCCAGACUCCUACGGGAGGCAGCAGCC
Molecule: ribosomal RNA, 268 nt
Filed under: uncultured Atopobium sp.
Lineage: Bacteria; Bacillati; Actinomycetota; Coriobacteriia; Coriobacteriales; Atopobiaceae
Description: partial 16S ribosomal RNA
Rfam family: Bacterial small subunit ribosomal RNA
Source: RNAcentral